GCCCCUCCCCCCUCCCUCCCUAUCCCACCCCUCCGGUCCGUCGCUUUCCCCCUUCGCAGCCAUGACGCGGCAGGCCGAUGAGCAGAAGUCCAUGCGCAAGGUCACCGGCAGCGGCGAGGCUGAGAAAACGUCUAAGCUGCGCACCGACGACCUUGCGGCGCUGCAGGAGCGCAUGAAGAAGCUGCACGCCGAGGUGACUCAGCAGAGUGAGGCUAAGGAGCAGCGUGCGCGCGAGCUGGCCGCAGUCCCGGUGGCGGACGAGGAUGUGCAGGUCGUGGCGGCGGCGCUGACGGUGACGCCCGAGUGCGCGCGGUCCCUGCUGCAGGAGAAGAACGGGGAUGUGACAGCGGUGCUGCGCGAUGCAGUGGGCCUGCCGAAGGCUCGUGCGUAGUGGCCGCAGCUUUCCUGCCCCGUCUCCCUUCCCGCCGGUGCGCAUGUGCCUAUGCGCGUCCGGCUACUCGGGUCGUGGCUUUGUGCUACUGAGGAAGUGUGUUGUUGGGUGGUGCGUGACAUGUCCCUGUAAGUUCGACUGGAAAAGUACAUGCGAAACGAC
This 553-nucleotide unclassified non-coding RNA is filed under the name Leishmania donovani. RNAcentral's name for it is "gene:LdHU3.14.0730(CDS-product:hypothetical_prote in_conserved)". The record is from RNAcentral. Lineage: Eukaryota; Euglenozoa; Kinetoplastea; Trypanosomatida; Trypanosomatidae.